This is a long non-coding RNA of Sus scrofa (pig), 1221 nucleotides long. RefSeq lists it as uncharacterized. Lineage: Eukaryota; Metazoa; Chordata; Mammalia; Artiodactyla; Suidae. The record is from RefSeq and is a predicted model, not a curated record.
AGGCUGGACCCUGGACAAGUCUUACUCCAUCUCUAAGCCCUACCCCUCAAGGCUCCGAGACUCUGGAGCACAGACAAGCAAUAUGACUUGGGGGAAAUUAGGUCCUCUUAUAUUUUACAGAUUUAGACAUCCAUCAAGCUCCAGGAGUCCCAGGAAACACAGCUGAUGUUGACUUCAAUUCUUCAAGACAAGAGAGAAAUCCCUUCUUCAUUUCUAAGACCAUUUUUCAGAGGGUCUGAAAUAAGGAAUGAUUAAUGCUGCCAUGAAGACAAGUUUGGAGAACACUACACCACACUGUUUAAGUGAGCACACGUGCAAGGGAGAAGAAUGCAAAACUUAGAUGGUGUUUAGGAAUGUGAAAACAAUAGCCAACUUCUACCAGGUUUCAAGCAUGCUUUUAAAUCUUCACAUGUAUGAGUGUGUUUAAAUCCUGAUAAGGCGCCUGUGACAUCAGGAUGACAAUUUACAGAUGCUGGAACCAGGCACAGAGACAUUCAAGCCUUUUGUUCUCAGCCAUGCAAUGGUGGAACGAGCUGCAGGGACCAGGUAUUCAACUGCCACUCAGAAAUGUAUCUCUCAUGAUGCGAGUAAAGCACACAGUCAGUGGUCAGUAAAUGGUCAUGGCUGUUGUUAUAAGGAGGAGAUACCAUAUUUCUUGUUUAAGCAUAUUCAGUUACAAAAUGACGGUUUCCCUGAGACUCCCAAGCAUACAGAUGAUAAGAAAAUCAGAGCUGAUAAAGACAGACACUUUAAAUAUAACUGGAUAAGGAAUGACGUUUCCUUUUGGAUUUCAUGUUAUAGACUUACAAUGGGGAUGAUGAUCUGUCAUCUCAGUCAAAAAAAGGGCUCUGUUCAAUAAAAAUAGCAGUUCAAGCUAAUUGCUUGGCUUAAUUGUUUAGUUUUAUUUCAAAUAAUCAACCUGUCAGUUCUGGCAGGCUCCAGCCUUAUUCCUAUGGUUUGGCGGUUCUUUUGGGUAGAAAAUGGAGUUAAAAUAUUGAUCUGGUUACUUCAAUUAAUACAUUUGUAAAUGGGUCACAUCACUGAAGGGGCCGAUUCUGCCAUCUAUGCAUUUCUUUUGUUCAGAACUCAUCACUUUAGCUGAUGUUUAUAAAGCCCACUUACACAUUUCCUUGUUGGAUAUUGUCAGAGAGACUUGGGAGGGAGGGAUUUAAUUCUUGCCAUGAUCUUGGGGGCGAGGUGAUAAAAAUGACAGCCAAGUGG